CACGUAGGGCGCAAGCGUUGUCCGGAAUUAUUGGGCGUAAAGAGCUCGUAGGCGGUCUGUUGCGUCCGCUGUGAAAACUCGGGGCUUAACCCCGAGCCUGCAGUGGAUACGGGCAGACUAGAGGUAGGUAGGGGAGAAUGGAAUUCCCGGUGUAGCGGUGAAAUGCGCAGAUAUCGGGAGGAACACCGGUGGCGAAGGCGGGUCUCUGGGCCGAUACUGACGCUGAGGAGCGAAAGCAUGGGUAGCGAACAGG
Molecule: ribosomal RNA, 253 nt
Filed under: uncultured bacterium
Lineage: Bacteria
Description: partial 16S ribosomal RNA
Rfam family: Bacterial small subunit ribosomal RNA
Source: RNAcentral